AUCGCUCUUUAGUAUUGAAGUUUCAGAUUAUUCAAGGUACUCUGGGCAAAUUUAGCAUGGGAAUCAUCUAUGUGCUGGGGCUAUAGACUAGGUCAAAGGAGACUGUCAUGUAAAACAAAAAGUAUGGAUCUGGAGACGAGGAGAUUAUUGGGAGUCCAGGAAAUUCUUCUGUUGAAAUCCAUUUCUUUUGAAUAUUGGCGAACAGACACCGUCUACUCUUAUUUCAGUUGCUCUCUCUAGUUCACUGCAUAGACGACAUACUGGUUAGUUAACAACUUCAAAAUCUCAAUGGCUUACAAUUAAAAUAACGGUUUUCGUGUUCACCAGUCUGCAAGUAGAUUGUAGUGCAGUUUUGUGGGCUGGGAGAUUUUUUUUUUUAGGCUGCAGGUCUGUUGGGCUUAGCUGCAGGCUGUUGGCUAACUCCACAUCUAUUCCCAAUGUAUUUCGGUAUUUCAUCCUCCUUGGACUCCUCACCAUCCAGGGAAUGUCCUCAUGGUGAAGGGUUGGUGCACAAGCCAAAUCACACAAGCAUAUUUCAAGUCUCUGCUCACAACAUUUACUAACAUUCCAUUUACCAAAUCAAGUCACAUGUCAAGCCCAACAUCAACGGCAUGAGGAAGAAUGCAAAGUUACUGACAAAAGGCAUGGGAAUGUAAGGUGAAACUACAGGGAACUGCUGAUAUUUGACCAUUUUUACUUAAUCAAAAAUGAAAAUUUUAUAUAGCUUGACCUUAUAUUCCAAUUACCCAAGGAAAUGAAGAAUUAGAUAAUCUUCAUUUAAUUCAACCUACCACAGAUGGCUUCCAUUUAACAUACUGACUUUCACAACCAGUGUGUUCGUUUUUAAGAUGCUAAAACCUUAAUAUCUUUGAUUGGGUUAUAAUACAGCUACCUGCGACUUUGUGGACUCUAUCUUUUUAAAAAAUAUACAAUUUAGUAGUUGUUAGUGUAUUCAUAGAGUUGUGCAAUCACCACCAAAUCUAAUUUCAGAACAAUUUUAUCAUUCCAAAGAGAAACCUGUACCUGUUAGCAGUCAUUCUAUAUUUCCCCUCUCCCUAGUCCCUGGAAACCAAUAAUCUUUUUCUGUCUCUAAGCACUUGCCUGUUCUGAACAUUUCAUACAAAUAAAACCAUACAAUAUAAUAUUUUGUGACAGGUUUCUUUCACUUAGCAUAAUGCUUCCAGGUUCAUUUAAGUUGUAGACCAUCAGUAUUAAACUCCUUUUUAUGGUCAAAUAACCCAUUGAAUGCAUAUAUAGCAUGUUUUUUUUAACCAUUUGCUGGAUGUUUGUGUUGAUUCCAUUUUUGGCUACUAUGAAUUAUGAACGUGUACGCACACGUUUAUAAACGUGUUUUUCUGGGUACAUAAGUUUUCAAUCCUCUUUGAUAUAUACGUAGUAGGAUUUCUGGGUUGUGUGGUAAUUCUAUGUUUAACAUCUUGAGUAACUGCCCCAAACUCUUUUCCAAAGUGGCUGCAGCAUUUUACAAUCCCACCUGCUAUGUAUGAGUUUUCCAAUUUCUCCACAUCCUUACCAACAUGUGUUGUUGUCUGUCUUUUUAAUUUAGCCAACCUAACGGGUGUGAAGUGGUGAAGUCUUAUUAUGGUUUUAACUCACAUUUCCCUAAUGACUAAUGACUUAGAGGUUUUUUUAUUGCGGUUAUUGGCCAUUUAUAUAUCUUCU
RNAcentral lists this long non-coding RNA (1680 nucleotides) under Callithrix jacchus (white-tufted-ear marmoset). RNAcentral describes it as "lncRNA (ENSCJAG00000081635.1)". The record is from RNAcentral. Lineage: Eukaryota; Metazoa; Chordata; Mammalia; Primates; Cebidae.